This is a long non-coding RNA of Gavialis gangeticus (Gharial), 2403 nucleotides long. RefSeq lists it as uncharacterized. The transcript is spliced from 3 exons. NCBI's taxonomy places the organism in Eukaryota, Metazoa, Chordata, Crocodylia, Gavialidae. The record is from RefSeq and is a predicted model, not a curated record.
UUAACAUGCAAGCUCAGGUGUGGCAAAACUCUGCUCACAUUUUUCAUUAGUUCUAAGUAACGGAUUAAUGGAUUAAUUGACUCGAUUCCUAUAUCGGCACUGGAGGUGAGACUCCUAAUGGGUUGCCAUUUAUCUACCAACUGACAUGACCAGCCUUUCAAAAGGGCACCAGGUCCUAGAACAGAAAACAGAAAAAUAAGGGAGCUGUGAAGACUGGAACAGGCUGAAGUCUUCAUAGGUGACCACGACACAAGGAAGCCAACGAAGUAAAGAGCCACAUGUUCCCUCCAGUGACGGCAGCAGACUACUGAACCUGUUCCCGAGUCACUUCCUGAACUUGUCUGAUGUGUGUUUCUGUUAGACUCAGGCUAAAUCUACAGAGCUGUUCCUGUCUAUGGGAGUUCUGCACCUUGGUGGUGACCAAUCCACGGCUUCUCACCUUCACUCUGUGUUGUCUCCCUUAACACUCAUCUGCCAUGCCUUGCUGUUCAAAAGAAAGAAAAAGGAGAAUAAGGGGAGGCAAGGUGUUUGGUGCCCUUAGUAGCUGGGGUUCAAAUGGGAUCAUUCUUCACAGGGCUCCACCUCCCUUACACCCUGCCCUUACCACACCUACAUAGGCACUGGCACCUGACCUAUCUCUGGGUCUCAUCCUCCCAAUAAUGGUGUAUUGAGGUCUGGUAACCAACCAGUUGUCUUCGUAGCAAUCACCCAGUUUUAUUCUUACUUCAGUGGGGUGUGGUUUACACCCCUCAUUGGUGCCUCCUGUCACAUCAUCGAUUUUCAUUUGAGCUAUAUCAAUCAGCUAAUGCUCCAUCCUUGGCUCAUAUCAAUUGCCUACCAUCACUUAUUAGGUUUAUCAAUUCAUUUCUUGCCUAUCCCCCUCCGGGAUAAUCAGUUUUAGAGUCUGUCAGUUUCCCCUCUAUCACUUUCUCAACAGUCUAGUCCAAUUCAUCGGCUGUGCAGCCGCAAGUCAUCAAUUCCCCUCCUCAGUGCAUUAGAUCCAGUAAGGGCUGGCCUCUUACUUGAGUCUCUAUAGGGCCGAAGCCCCUCACUUGCCAGCCUAUAUCUCUAAGCCAUAUCCAAUAUCCUAGGGCAUAAAACUGUUUAAAUCUCCAUUUUACUAAUCCAGGUAGCUCUUCCCUUUACCGGUCUUUAGGAGUUGUCUUGUCAGUGGACGAGUGCAGCGUCCUGCUUUGUGAAAUCCCACUUGCGGUCCAUCAGUCCAGCUUCUCUUGGCAACUCUGCAGUUUCAUGCAGCUUGCAAAAGUUCUUCCUCCCUUGUGGUUCCCCUCUCUGGGGGAUCUUCAGUUCUGCUGGCAUCCCCUUUAACUUCUGGCUGGGCUCCCUCCGGCCAGUAGGAGCUGGUUCCGGUUUCCCAUGACCCAGAUUCACCCUGCGUCAGGCACGUAGGAUGCCAUGUCCAUCUCAGACUCUGUCAGUGCUGCUCCCUUAGCCACACUAUCUGCCCGGCUUCCCCCAGUAAGUUCUCCCAUGUGUUCGGGCCCAGCGAGACAACCCAGACCAUAACAGAGCCUGUGGCCAGUGCCCUGUUGCACUGCCCAACACUGGGUGAUCCCAGCAGUAAGCACUUCUGGGCCCUUUCCCUGGUGUUAGGAACUGUACCGAUCCUGUUCCUCCCAAGAUCACCCAUGACAAAGAUUUCAUCAUCAUGAACUAAUCAAUGACUGCAUUGGCAUUGCCAUCCAGAAAGCACUAUGGAUGCCAGCUCACCCCCUCAAAGCACUGCAGACAGCAUGGGACUGAAUAGGAGCCUGAAAUCUUUAGUGUUGUAAAAGCAAACAUCUGUUGGGAACAGCUACAUCCCUUUUGGAUACUCGCAGACUUUUAAACUAUCGCUGCAUUACAAGGUCUUUUACAAGAGACAUCAAGUUUGCGAUUUUUAUAAACAUCCACAAAAGAGAAGUUGAGGAAAGUACAAAUGAGUUUCACCUCAGUUUUAAUUACUAUAAUUUUCUCUCGUAAUGGUAAUUUCUGUAAUUAAUGGCUGCAUUUUUCUAUUGUGGCGGUAUUUGGAGAUGACACGAAAUGAGCAAGUGUUUUUGUUUCCGUGACAAAAAGAGAAAAUUAGCUGGUGAAAUGCUGAUCAGAAGUGUUUGGUGGGAGGGGUGUGGGAAGAAAGGGCUGAUAAUAAGUUUUGCAACCAUGUUUCUUUGCCAUAUUAUCUUGUAUUUGCCAUAUUAUCUGUGAGUUAAUGGAGCUAAGCUACAGCCUCAGUAAGGAUGCUGUGCCAUGCAGAAAACCCUCCGCUUCUAAUGUCAUCAUCCAGUAUUUGCCUCUGUGGCUUAGCAGUUGUCUAUUGCAAUUAAGCACUGGAUGGCAGGAAUCUCGGUUCAAAUCCCAACUCUGCUGUAGCCGUCAUGGGUGACCACUUAACUGCUCUUU